GAAGAGGUGGCUCAGCGGUUAAGAGCACUGGCUUCUCUUCCAGAGAUCCUGAGUUCAAUUCCCAGCACCUACA
Molecule: transfer RNA, 73 nt
Filed under: Neotoma lepida (desert woodrat)
Lineage: Eukaryota; Metazoa; Chordata; Mammalia; Rodentia; Cricetidae
Rfam family: tRNA
About the family: Transfer RNA (tRNA) molecules are approximately 80 nucleotides in length. Their secondary structure includes four short double-helical elements and three loops (D, anti-codon, and T loops). Further hydrogen bonds mediate the characteristic L-shaped molecular structure. tRNAs have two regions of fundamental functional importance: the anti-codon, which is responsible for specific mRNA codon recognition, and the 3' end, to which the tRNAs corresponding amino acid is attached (by aminoacyl-tRNA synthetases). tRNAs cope with the degeneracy of the genetic code in two manners: having more than one tRNA (with a specific anti-codon) for a particular amino acid; and 'wobble' base-pairing, i.e. permitting non-standard base-pairing at the 3rd anti-codon position.
Source: Rfam by way of RNAcentral